Molecule: long non-coding RNA, 3171 nt
Filed under: Sorghum bicolor (sorghum)
Lineage: Eukaryota; Viridiplantae; Streptophyta; Magnoliopsida; Poales; Poaceae
Description: long non-coding RNA (SBIC_LNC016860)
Source: RNAcentral
GCGCGGCUCCAGCGACUCGAAGGAGUUGAUGAGGAUGCCGCGGGCUUCCGGCAUCCGGGCAGCCACGCCGAUGAUGCCCUUGCACGCCUCGCCGUCGUCCGCCAGCCCCUGCGCCAGGUCCGCAACCGUGAACGGAGGAGCGCCCGGGAACGACAGGACGGCGGAGUUCCCGAGCGCCGCGAAGCUGGUGCCCACUCUGGCGCGCAUGGCGGGGAGGCCGAGGAAGCAGGCGAGGCCGGCGGUGCCCGAGGGGAAGAAGAAGUAGGCGGGCAGGCCAAGCUCGGCGGCGACGUCGAGCGCGUCGGCGCAGAACAUGUCGAGGACGAUCGCCUGGACGCAGCGACGACGACGACGACGACGACGACAGCGCGCGAAGGAAGUCGCGGAGCGGCGCAUUCGUGGCGCGGAGGAAGCGGAGCAUCCGGGCCAAGGGGACAUCAGGCUCGGCGUCGUCGGAGGCCGCCGGCGGCGGCGGUGGCGGGGGAAGCACGUGCAAGGCGACGGAGGCGUUGGAGGCCUUGGCGCGCGCGACCGUGGAGGCGAAGCCGUUGGCGUAGACGGGCGGCUCGAAGACCGCGAUGGCGACGUCGACCUGGUCUCCACCGUGGCGGAGGAACGCCUUGGCCAGCUCGAGCAUCGGCGCGAGGUGGCCGACGCCGACGCCCGGAUACAGCACCACCGUCUUCUUCUCCAUGGCUCGCCCGGCUAACGACGUACUCAACUGCUAGCUGGGCACCAGCGGCACUGCCCGGCCGCGUCUUUCUGGAAAGUUGCUGCUAGCCACUAGAGUAAUCUUGUUGCUCGAGUGCUAUCCUGCUUUUGACGGGUGACUGUGAUUACAGCGAGCAGUGGGGGAUGAAACAGAAGCGGAGUGCGACCCAGUCAUUCUUGAUUCCUUGUGACAAUGACUGUGUCAAGAAGCAGCGAGUUGCCCAUUGUGGUGGUUUGGAAGCUCUAAAGGUUGGACCAAGAUACACUAUCUUUCCAUCCUUAGCGUCAUCAUUUAAUAAGUGAUUCAUGAGUUUCAACUCUUAGUUUGGUUCUUUGCAGGAGUUAGAUGAUAAUGUAGCUUCCAUGAAACAAUGCAUCAAUCACCAUGGUGGGUCAGAGGCUGUGGAGGUUUGGUUAUGCCUUAACAAGUCAAAUCUGGAACCGUUUCUUUAUUUUUCUUUUUUUUCCCUUUUGAACUUCUCAUUAUGUUCUUUUCAGCAGGAAUCUUUUGAGGGGGAACAAUGAUCUAGAUCAUCUGAAACUUCUGAACAGGAGUAUUUUAAUUUCUCUUUAGCCUUAUGUAUAAUUUAGUGUUUACUUGUCUUCUUGGCAUUGCGUGAUAGACUGGUGCCUGAUUUUGUUAGGCAUUUUUUGUUUUAUUAUUCCUUUAAUCGAUCUCUACAAUUUUGUUUUUCUUGCUUGUUUGUCCAAUAAGGCAGGUAUACAUCUACACUAACUACAAUUGUUACCAAAGUUACAAGACAAAUGAUGGGCAUUUGUAGAUCAGUUGUGUUUCUCAACUUUUCUACAUAGCAUUUGUUAAAAUCAAAUAUAUGUUCCCAAAUGAAAUACUGUAAUUUUCAUAUAGACUUUUUUGUUAGUGGGGUAGGUUUGUUUUUUAGUUUUAUGAUUUUUUUUAGUUUUAUAAUUUUUUUCUAAUGUCACCGUAGCGUUAGCACGGGUAAUAUACUAGUCUAUCAUCUGUGUGAUUUCUUGGAAGCCAAAAUUGUGAUUUCUUCGAAGACUUGGUGCCACUGCCAGGUACGGGAGCACUGGAGCUUUUAUGGCCUGCUGCCCUAUGAGCUGUGUUUCACAUGAUAUUAUUCGCAAAAGUCUAUAAUGAACUUCAUAUAUAUAUAAAUUGGUGAUUCAAUAUGAAGCACAGUCACUGUAUCGCUGGACAGUGGCCCGGCGAUUGCAGCGGCUGCACAGGUCAUGGUGGCGGAGGGAGGAACAGAUGAGGUUCAGCUGAUACAGUGACUGUGCUGAUGCAGGCGAGAGCUCCUCAUGUUCUAUAUGUUUAAGCAACACCUCUGUGUCGUUGAUCAGGGGCCAUGUUUAGCCGGUGCUGUAGCAAGGUCCUCGGUGAGUUGGAGCUGUAGUAGUAGUGAGUUCAUGUUGCCAGGUAGAAGUUUUAGCCUAAGACCGUAGUUGGUUUGCUGUGGAUGGAAAUGGACAGGCAGAUGUAUGAGCCUGUGUUUGUUGUGGGUCUGUACCGGUAGUGUGGACGUUGGUGUCGUGUCAAGAAACCACAGCAGGCUGGAUGCCUCAGCUGUCACUGUUGUAUGGGUCAUGUUCGUCCUAGUUAAUGAAAUGAUGUUGCUUGGGUGUCAUCUCUACUAUAAUUGAAAUCUUCUCCAGACAAAUCCCACCAACAAGAUCAACGACUCACAACAUAUGUCAUACAGAUUAGACGGCCCAGAUUAGAAGUAUGAUCACGACCUUACAUCACAUCUCUACUCUUUGGAGGACCGCGUCGGGCUGGCCUCAAGCGCUAAUUCUCCCCGCGAUCCGGCUCACCGUAGUUCUUCCCGGCCAAGAAGCGGAGGCCCUCGUCGCGCAAGGACGAGUCGCCGCGACCCGAGACGCAGCAUGAGAGCCCCGGCGGCGCCAAGGGGUCCCUAGAGGGCUACCUCGCCCGUUCGCUUUCCACCCGUGCCGCGGCGGCGGCAUCGGUGCUCCCCGUGAGGUCGCCCAGCGGCGGGGACCCGGGCGCCAGGCGGAGCCUCUCGGCCGCAAUGGAUGUCGAUGUCGGUUCCUCGGCUCCGGUGGUGGCGGUGGUAGGUGACGGGGCAGACUUUGAUCUCAAGAGGAGCACGGCGGACUUCUUGUCCCAUUCUUGGCCCGACGCAGUAGACCGGCGGCGUGGGGCGGUCCGGCACGCACAGCCCGUCCCUGAGCGCCCACAUCGCGCGCGGCUCCAGCGACUCGAAGGAGUUGAUGAGGAUGCCGCGGGCUUCCGGCAUCCGGGCAGCCACGCCGAUGAUGCCCUUGCACGCCUCGCCGUCGUCCGCCAGCCCCUGCGCCAGGUCCGCAACCGUGAACGGAGGAGCGCCCGGGAACGACAGGACGGCGGAGUUCCCGAGCGCCGCGAAGCUGGUGCCCACUCUGGCGCGCAUGGCGGGGAGGCCGAGGAAGCAGGCGAGGCCGGCGGUGCCCGAGGGGAAGAAGAAGUAGGCG